Molecule: long non-coding RNA, 2080 nt
Organism: Panthera uncia (snow leopard)
Lineage: Eukaryota; Metazoa; Chordata; Mammalia; Carnivora; Felidae
Exons: 5
Source: RefSeq, a predicted model, not a curated record
GGCAGGUGUGACCAGCUGUGCUUGGGAGUGUCGGGGGCAGCCUUUAUUCAGAAACUAUUUGCCUUGAAGUCAAACCUGGGUAUAGGACUUUCUGAUGAGCACUGAAGAAAUAUUAAUGGAACUUUCCAAACACCAUGUUUCCUUAGCAUCUGUGGCUCUGAGUUCUCAAUCCGAGCUGGACUCCCGUGAGAUGGGAUUCUACUUCAAGCUGGCAAAACAUGGUUUCCUGUGUGUAUAGGAAGGAAGCGCUCUUUUAAGGGCAUCCCAGGCAUCAAACAGAUCCGGUCAAAUUAGAGGCAGAGAUACUGAGGCAGAGAUGCUGAUGGUUUGAUCCUUGACUUGGAGGCCUAAAGGCGUUGGCUGAAGCCAUGAGAAGAGCAGGCUGGAUAAUGGAUGUUACCCUGGGCCUCUGAUGGAGGCUCUUAAGUCCUACAGCGUAUUGCCUCUCUGCUCACUUCCCAUUUGUCUUGUUCCUUGCUUCCAGUAGACAUGUUAGCUAUGGUUAAUUGAGCAUGUCACAUGCGGACUAUCAUCAAGAUGGUACUUGCGUCCAUGACCUCCUUUAACCUCCUUGGAAGGAGACCUUCUCACCUCUGUGAUACAGAGACAAAAGGGCAGUGCAGCGGGAGAAAGUCCACGGACUGGUGGUCUGAUCCUGGGAGUAGAGGAUCUUCUCUCACCCGGGAAGAAGACUGAGGCAGAAAGAUGAGACCUGCAUGCUGCGGCCAUAAAAGUCCUGAGCUGUGAGCUUGUGUCGAUGGGACCGCAAGUCUGCCCCCAUCAUUGCGGGCACCUUGCAGCUGCUUCUGGCAACCAGGUUCUAUGACCGCAAUGAAGAACAAGGUGGUAACUUGCAUCCUUGUCGAAAAGCGUGACUAAUGUGAAGCUUUUGCAUUUUCCUUUGUUUUGGCACCAGGAUGAAAAUUGACCCCUAAUACGAAGAAGGCCUUGAUGCACUUACUCCCACAGUUGGAUAGACAGACCCAAAGUGUCGAAACUUCACAGAAUCCAGCAGAAACAGACCCCUGCUGUUGUUAGAUUUUUUUUCCUUAAAGUGAACAAGGACAGGAGUUUCCAUAGCCCCAGAAUCACCAGGACAGAACAGUUCCAUUGAAUAGACCAUUGCUAUCCUAUCCCAAAACGCCCCUGUGAGUUCUGAUGAGUCCAGUUGCAAAUGCUUCCGGUUUCCCCUGUUCGAUCUUCGAUAUGACCGCUCCUCCCUGCUGGAUGGCUGGGAAGGAAAGACUUCCUUUGGAUUCAAAAUGGCGAUUGAUGCAUGAACAUCUUCCAUAAACACUGGGACUCAGUUGGAGACUCACUCCAAGCUCUUUCUUGCUGUAAUUUUUCUUAGAACCCUGCAUUGUACUCCAUCCUUCCCUUUCCUGGGUUCAUGGAAUCCACGUUCCCAAUCACAGAAGUAUGAGGGCUGUUGCUUGAAUGAGCUGACAGGUACCUCUUUUCAUGCCAUUAAUGUGGCCCUCUUCUCCACGUGUGAAAUAUCACACUUGUAAACAUUUUACCCACAGGUUUAUUUGAAAGGAGAAGCUGUUUUCAGGAGAAGAAACAGGCCCUGGUUCUGAUUUUCCCCAUGAAUGUUCUGAGUCAGCCAAAAGGAUACCUACACCCAAUGGGCAUCAAGAAUGGGAAAGAAAGGAAUUCCAUAUAAACUUCUGUAAGGCAAAAAACAAAGACGGGUUUUAUCUUCAGUGUGACCACAACUUUCACUUUAAAUAAGUUUUACUUAAAUCACAGCGUUUGAAAUUUACAUCCAGGGUCUGCCAGGCAUUAGGCUCUCUGCUUUUAUAGGAAGAUAGUUCCCUCUUAACUGGCUCACGGGGUACAAAGGGAGGCAUCUGGGUACCACGUGAGGCAUAGCUUUAAUGUCACCUCUCCCAGGCUGAGAAGUCAGCUCUGCACUCUGGCACGGGUCUUGAUUCCACCUCCUUGGCUACAAGCUAAAGAAACAGUGAUCACAAACUGCUCUCAGUCUGUGUCCUCAAAGAGACUGUGAGCUCUUUGAGGCAGAAGGCUGUAUCUUAUUCAGUUGUAGUCGUUGGUCCUGUCCCCCUUGUCUGCUACA